Molecule: long non-coding RNA, 4207 nt
Organism: Monodelphis domestica (gray short-tailed opossum)
Lineage: Eukaryota; Metazoa; Chordata; Mammalia; Didelphimorphia; Didelphidae
Source: RefSeq, a predicted model, not a curated record
GACAGUAUUAGGAAAGGGGGAGAAAAGAAGGGAAAGGGGGUGGGGGAGACAAUGGAAGAAAAGGGAUCUGAUAGUCCUUUAGGGAUAUGUGGCUCUGAACUUUGCUGUCCCCUCUUAAAAUGUUCUGUAGGUGGCCCCACUGCUUCUGUUACCUCUACCACUGGAAAAAAAAUUCUCUAACUUCACUGCAUUCUUUUGUCAUCUUGUUGCCUUGGAAACCUCCAUACCACACACCUGAUUCAUGCAUCUCGCCUGGCUAAGUCCAGACUCAGGUCAAAGGCUGGCAUUUGCCCUGUGUUUCCCUUUCUUCUUUUUUCCAGGCAUCUGUAAACUGAAGAUAGACAGAAUGAGAUGGAGCUAUCAAGGCCAAGUUUGACUGCCAGGAAGGAGCUGGAGCAGCCAAAGAGGCUGAACAUGUCAGACUUCUCUCCCAGCCUGCCACACACACUUAAAACCUAAAGGAAAUAAGCCGGGAUCAAUGGGAGGAAGGGAGCCAACCAGGUGGCUUAGGACUUGUACUGGUGAAAGGAGAGCCCACACCUCUCAAGAAUCUCCAAAGUGCUGAAGAAAUAAGACUUUUAAAAAUGUCAUGGGAAUUUUGCGAAGGCCAAGUAAGGACAUAACUGAUUCUCCAUGGUGAAAGUUUAACCAAAGUUGACAAAAACCACCACCGUCUACUAUAAAAGCGUUGUGGAUAUGUACCAAGAAGGACUUCACAUACUUGAUAUGACACUGCUGAUAGAGAAGUUAUUUCGGUGGGAAGAAUAGAACUUUAUCCUGAUAACAUCAUGAGUGUGGCUUUGAGGACCAAACAGUUCCUAAAUCCUACAGCCUAUGAUAGUUCCAUUGCUUGAUCAAGUUUAACAGUUUUUUUCUCCUUUCAUAAUGGUUUAUCACCUAGAUACAUUUUUCUACACCAUCCGAAAAGGAAAGAGAACUUCAGGGGCCAAAAAACCCACAAAGGCAGAGAAGAUAAUCAUUUGAAAGUAUUAAUGGCAGUAAGAAAAUCUUGAAAGAACAAUAGUUUUGUUUUGGUUUUUUUGGUCUGUCUCAAAGAAUGCUUUGACAAAUCUGAUCUGUGCACUUUUCCUGAGUCCCUGGCUUUGAAAUCAAAUCUGGUUUUAAUACAUAGCAGGUAUCAUCAGAGUACUUGGGUCUGUAAUUGAAGGAAAGUUGAGAUGGAGGGUGGGAAGGGAUUAGUUUGAUGCUUUCAUGGCUUGGCACAUCUGUGAAUGUUAGAAUAUAGAAGGAGAUGGAUAUCCAGGUUUAGAUCAGACCUAUCCGGAUGCAGGAGGCACAGAGUUUAGAUUGAAGGUGGCUAUUCAUCUCGAGGUUCAAAUGCUCAUCUUCCAAAGUCUGCCAAAAGGGUGUCAGCCUAUGGAGGGCAGUCUGUUUCUGUUCUUGGUCUGGUUCUUCCCUGAGCAAUAAUAAUUCCAGAAACAUAAACUCUCAUGACACAUAUCAACAUGUCUUUUUCUGAUGUUGGCCCCAAACUGGAAGUUAAACAAUCUGGCCUGAAUUCAGGGCAUCAAAAUGAAAAAAAAAAUAGACUCAAAUUCACAUAAAUUUAGCAGUUUUUUGUAAUAUAAUUCAAUUUAAAUAUUUGUAUAUAUUUAUAUAUGUACAUCCAUAUAUCCACACAUAUAUGUGUGUGUAUAUGUAUGAGGCAGCUAUUUGGCACUGUGGAUAGAGUGUUGGCCCUGGACUCAGAAACACCUGAGUUCAGAUCUGACUUCAGAUACUAAACCAGCUUUGUGACUCCGAGCAAGUCAUUAACCCUCUUUGCCUCAGUUUCUUCAUGUGUAAAAUAAGCUAGAGAAGGAAAUGGCAAACCAUCCCAGUACCUUUGCCAAGACAAAAAAAAAGAUUAAAUAUCAGCAAACAAAAAGUGCAUGAAGGGGAGCAAUAUGAAAUGACUGGGAAGGUAGAUGUGAGCCAGAUGAUGGAGUUCUUGAAAUUCUAGGUUUAUGGUUUUGUGUUUUAUUCUAAAAGCAAAAGGGAGCUGUUGUUUUUUUUUUUUUCUGAAGGGCAGGGAGUGGGGAGGGGAUGAUGGGGGCAAAAUAGGUUUUUAGGAAUUUGUUAACUUUGUGGGAGAUAGACCAGGGGCAACGAAGCAAAUGGAGAUGAGGAGACCAAAUAUAGAUGAAUACUUUGUCAUCUGUUUUUUUCCUCCCUUUUUCAAAGAUACAUCCUUUUUGAAUUGAGUUUUUUUGUUCUUUUUCUGUACGUAGCCAAAAAUAAAACUUCUUUGCAUUGAUUUAUUUGAAAAGGUCCUGUAUUAAAUCUGUUUGGUUUUUCAUGAAGUAAUGAUGAGUCAAGGACCUUUCUGGAUAUUCUUCUGGACUCUGCUGUUGCUUUCCUGGGAUCCUGUGAGAAAAAUCUUUUUCCUGUCUCUGCCUAGGCAAAACCUGGAUAAUGCCAUUUUCCAGCUGCUUAAGGAUAGUUUGGGUUUUAAUGAGAAAACAAAAGGAAAUCAUUUCACCUAUUCAAGAGAUCAGCACAGAACUGAGUGAUCAAUAAGUCAGUGGAUUGCUUUUUUUUUUCUUUUUGCAUGGCUGGUUAUCAGCAUAGUAUAGUGUUGAGUAAUGUGUGUGUUUAGGCAGUCUGAUCUAACUCCCCUUAUUGGAUCACUUCCACUUUACACUCUCCCAGGGAACAAUAUAUUAAGUACAGUAUUUUGAAUUAUCUGUUGAAUCCUACUGUCUGGUUUUGGCAAGUCUCAAGGAAAAUAAGAAUAUUCCUUAGAAUUGCUUGGAACUUUCCCAGAAAGGCCGGCUUCAUACUGUGGGAAACAUCCAUUUCGAGGAUAACACUCACAGGACUCCUCAUACAGAGGCCUCAGAGGAAAAAGACUCCAUUCUGUAAGUUUGGGAGACAAGAAAGUCAGACAUAGAUGAUAUCGCCUAUCACAGGGGCCAGAGCAGUCUAAAUUAUGGGGCUGCCCUUUCCAUAUGUUGGUACAAGUCAUUUCCUUUUAAAUUACUCUAUUUAUCAAUCUCUCAUCCUGUUAUUUUGACAUGCUGAACUUAAAGGAGUUGAUGUUCCCUGUAUAUGUGACAAGAGGGAAAAUGUGGAGGAUGACAGCAAACUGAAAGGUCUUUUAAAGGUGGUGUGGACUGGCUAAAAUGUCUGGGACAUGACAUCAGCUCAUUAAGAAAAAAUAGCUACUGUUACUAUACAGGCUUAAGGUUUAUAAAACUCUUCUUUUAUCCUUUCCAUUUUGUUUUCAUGACAACCCCAUGAGGAUCACAGUUAUUAUUGUACCAGUUUCACAAUUGUGGCAAUUAAAUAAGUCGAUUAAUAAGCAUUUAUUAGGCACCUGUUAUAAGCUAGUGAAGUGAUUUGGUGGACAGAGUGCAGACCUAAAGUCAGGAAGACUCACUGCCAUAAGUUCAAAUCUGGUCUCAGAUACUUACUAUAUGUGCCCCAUGGCAAUCUGCUUAACCCUGUUUGCCUCUGUUUUAUCAUCUGUAAAAUGGCCUACAGAAGGAAAUGGCAAACCCCAUUCAGUGUCUUUGUCAAGAAAAUCCCAAACGGGGUCCAAAAAAGUUAGACAUGACUGAAAAAUGACUAAAACUUAAACCAGGCACUGUGCUAAGCACUGCGGAUUCAAAGAAAAGCCAAGACAAUUUAAAUGAUUUGCUCUGGGCCACAGAGCUAAGAAAGCGCCUGAGACAGGAUUCUAUUUCAGGUAUUCCUUUCUCCAAAACUCUCCACUGAACCAUCCAGCUGCCUAUCAGUCAUUGGUGGCUUAAGAUAAGUUUCAUUUUAAGAUCUGGAACUAAAUCAAAUGUAAAACUUAAGGAACAAAAAUUAAAAAUGAGAUUUGGGAAAGGCCCUUUAGAAACCUGAAUAUUAAAAUAAAAAUUAAUAAUGUUUAAUAAAGGCUACUCUCAAGACUCGGAUUGUUAGACGACAUUAUUCAGCUGUCAUCUUGUGUCUUAUGAGUGUCACAGUUGAUUUUUGGCACCAAAAAUAUAAUAUUGACAGCACUUAUCUUGAUAAUGACAUGGAACUCUUCAAGAGUGAAAACACACUACUGUCAUAUAGUAUCAGAUAAUCCUUUUUCAAAUUUAAGUGAUGAGAACUCUGUAUUAAAUGGUUGCUUUUGUCUAACUUACCAUUUUCCAGAGGUAUAACCUCUAUUCAAAGGAAGAAAGAAGGAAGAAAGGGAGGGAGGGAGGAAGGAAGGAAGGAAGGAAGGAAG